AAUUCGUGGUGAGAACAUCUUCUCAUCAAAUCCGUUUACCUCUCCCAAGCCUCAUAUAGUGAUUCAGAAUCAAAUUGCAUUAAAGAAGUGAUAUCAUUCUGCAUCU
Molecule: small nucleolar RNA, 106 nt
Filed under: Theobroma cacao (cacao)
Lineage: Eukaryota; Viridiplantae; Streptophyta; Magnoliopsida; Malvales; Malvaceae
Description: Plant small nucleolar RNA R71
Rfam family: Plant small nucleolar RNA R71
About the family: R71 is a member of the C/D box family of snoRNAs containing the C (UGAUGA) and D (CUGA) box motifs.
Source: Rfam by way of RNAcentral